UACGUAGGGGGCAAGCGUUAAUCGGAAUCACUGGGCGUAAAGGGCGCGUAGGCGGCUUUAUAAGUCGGGGGUGAAAGCCUGUGGCUCAACCACAGAAUUGCCUUCGAUACUGUAUGGCUUGAGACCGGAAGAGGUUAGUGGAACUGCGAGUGUAGAGGUGAAAUUCGUAGAUAUUCGCAAGAACACCAGUGGCGAAGGCGGCUGACUGGUCCGGUUCUGACGCUGAGGCGCGAAAGCGUGGGGAGCAAACAGG
This 253-nucleotide ribosomal RNA is filed under the name uncultured bacterium. RNAcentral describes it as "partial 16S ribosomal RNA". It matches the Rfam family "Bacterial small subunit ribosomal RNA", at positions 524 to 776 of the family's 1533-position model. The record is from RNAcentral.